Molecule: unclassified non-coding RNA, 457 nt
Filed under: Hevea brasiliensis (rubber tree)
Lineage: Eukaryota; Viridiplantae; Streptophyta; Magnoliopsida; Malpighiales; Euphorbiaceae
Source: RNAcentral
CCAGGCACUUAGAAAAUUAAAACUUUAAUGGUCUCUCUCAAAUGAAAUUAUAUCUUAAGGCCGCUGAUUCUGAAGAUGUGUAAUCUUCUGUCUUUAUUAUAGACAUGUAUCAGUAUACAAAAAGAGACAAGGUCUCUGUCUUUAUUAUGGACGUGCGGAGACAGAAUAAAACAUAACAAGGAUGUUUUUGUGAAGCUGGGAAAUGAACAAUAGCUAGCUAAAAGAUCCGUGCAAAAUCAAGAGACUUCUUUCCUUCAUGAGCAUUGCCAAAAAAGUUGUUGUAGUAAUCUUCAAACACAACCUCCCUGAAACGUGCCACGCCAUCCCUCUCCACCACUUGAGGCAAUGGUCCAAUUUUCUCUGUUCGUUUUGGAAUUGUAAAAAAUGGAACUGACACUCUUGAUUGAGUGCUUGUAGUACGAACUCUGUGUUCAGCACUUUUAUACCUUCCAUUGCU